AUGCCAACCCAUGUUCAUCCUUUGAAGAAGUUAGAUAAAGAGAAAAGUUGGGAGCUUUUUAGUAGAAAAGCUUUACCAUCAUAUAAAAGGUCUAUUAUAGCUGGUGUUGAUGAGUUUGAAAAACUUGGAAGAAAGCUUGCAAAGAAAUGUGAUGGAUUGCCACUUGCACUUUCAGUUUUGGGGGGUUAUCUAUCAAAAAAUCUGAAUAAACAAGCAUGGACUGAUAUACUCUCAGAUUGGCCAUCAACCAAAGAUGGACAGAUGAUGCGAAAUAUACUAGCUCGCAGUUAUAAGGACCUACCAAAUCAUUAUUUAUGUUCAUGUUUACUCUAUGUUGCUGCUUUUCCUGAGGAUUACAAAAUAGCUGUGCCGGACCUUAUCGAAUUAUGGAUAUCAGAAAGCUUGAUUCCACACAUACCAAAUCAUAAACUAGAAGAAAUAGCGCGUAACUAUGUAACCGAGUUGGCCCAGAGAAGCUUGGUAGAAGUUGUUGAAAGAAGUAAGUUACAUGGAUGGAUUCUAACAAUAAGGAUUCAUGAUAUUCUACGUGACUGGUGCAUAGAAGAAGCAAGGAAAGAUGGUUUUCUUGACGCCAUCAGCAAUACUACAGGCCAUUGUAGUCCAUCAUCAUCUGAUAACAUGGUAUCUUAUCGUUAUUACUUUCAAAGUUUAAGUGAGGAGAUUUUACCCGCAACACGUAAUGUCCGGACUUUUCUUGGAUUUAGAGACUCAUCAGUGUCCCUUUCUAAGCUAACAUUCCUGAGAGUUCUUCACAUUGAAGACUCGAUCCUGGAAGAUUUCUCUAGCGCAAUUGGUGAGUGCAUUCACCUAAGAUAUCUUAGGUUGAGACGGUGUGGACAUAUGAUGCUCCCUUCUUCAAUUGGGAAACUCCUUUACCUGCAGACUAUAGAUCUCAGAGACACAGAAUUGGACUCAGCAGUACCAAAAUCUCUAUGGGAUAUCCCUACUCUAAGGCAUGUUUACCUUGAAGAUAAGUUUUGUCCACCACCACCUGCAAGGAGUGUGCGUUUGCAAUGCAAUGGGCUCCAGACCUUUGUGUUGAAUCCUUCAACUUUUGGCACCAAAUACUGCUACCAUGACAUGGUGAUUUUCUUGGGCCAGAUGAAUCAACUAACAACUUUGUACUUGCGAAUGCGCCCCAUACCCUCAGAGGUGAUUAACAUAUUUGCAAACAUGCCUCACUUGGUUGAUAUUUAUCUCAGUGAAUUUGGUCUGCUCAAUAAGCUACCUACUCAGUUUCCACAAAGUGUAAGGUGCCUUGUUCUGUAUGCUAAUGUCAUUAAACAAGACCCGAUGCCAAUCCUGGAGAAACUUCCUUGUCUUGUCAUGUUGAAGUUGUGGGGUUAUGAAGGCCAAACUAUGUCCUGCUCUGCCCAAGGGUUUCCUCGCUUGCAAGAGUUAGAACUUGGUAUUUUUUCCACUAAUGAGUGGAGCAUGGAGGAAGGGACGAUGCCGAAACUCUCCAGCAUGGCACUUCGUGUGUGCAUGAUGAUGAGCAGGCUUCCCGAGGGGUUGCAGCAACUUCCGUCCCUCAGGCACCUAUGGCUGUUCUAUAUGCCCCAGAUUUCCGAAGAUGACAUCACACUAAAGGAGCUGUUGCGGAAAGGAUGUGAGGUGAAAGUGAAAUGUUAA
RNAcentral lists this ribosomal RNA (1653 nucleotides) under Triticum aestivum (bread wheat). Its description in RNAcentral is "partial small subunit ribosomal RNA". The record is from RNAcentral. Lineage: Eukaryota; Viridiplantae; Streptophyta; Magnoliopsida; Poales; Poaceae.